Molecule: long non-coding RNA, 3181 nt
Organism: Pongo pygmaeus (Bornean orangutan)
Lineage: Eukaryota; Metazoa; Chordata; Mammalia; Primates; Hominidae
Exons: 3
Source: RefSeq, a predicted model, not a curated record
GGGACCGGGCGGCCGCGGAAGGCGAGAGGCUGCGUGCCCCUUCCCCGCCGCGUGUGUGUCCCGGGUGUGCCCGUGCGCGUGUGUGAUGGGGCGCGGGGGCGGGCGGGAGUGUGCUUUGCGGCUCUGAGUCCAUGGGUGGGAUUCUGGGCGCUUCUGCACUCGCAUCUCUCCCCGACAGGCACGGGCAGUUCCGCGAACUUGUCCCCGUCUCCAGCCCCCUCCCGCGCGGGGAUCUGGGGGACCCUGGGGACGGCAGCCUGGUGCUCCAGCACCCUCCAACGCCGCCGCCUCACCGAGACUCACCGAGGGUCCCCCGAGGACAAGUGCAGGCCCCCUCCCCCUGCCAGCAGCUGCUCCUUCAGCCAGGCCAGCAGAAGGGCCUUCCCCUGGACCCUCAGAGCAAGUGGUUUGGUCGGGAAGGGGUGGACGCUUCAGGCAUUGGGGAUGGCCAGGCCCUUGUCCCAGGGAGGGCUCGCCUCACCUCGAGGUGCCAGCAGGUGGGGGCAGGUGCCCAGGCUCCCGACUCCCCCCAGGGCACCCCUCCAGGCUGGAAGGGUGGUUUCGCUUCUGGGACCACUGCUUUGUGCACCAGGGAGCUUGAGCUCCCAGGUGUGCGCCUCAGCACGCCCGCCAACAAGGGGCUCCUGGUAGUGGAAGAGACCCCUUCUCCCUCCAGACAAAGAGGCCCUGCUGCAGGGCCCACCCUGAGACCGCAGACCCGGAGAGGCUGUGGGGCGGCUGUGGCUUCCCACCUGCGGGUGAGCAGCAGAGAAGUAGGACCUCCCCUGGGUGGGCCACACCGUGCAGAGAGAAGAAGAGGCCCUGCCCAGCUGGGGCCCGGAAGGACACACAGCACCUGGGGUGGGCCGAGGAACUGAAAGGCGGGAGUGUGGGGGCCCGGCUGGGGUACAGGUUCUCUCAGCAGCACCUCUUCCUGUAUACGCGAACUUUUCAAGAAAAGGAAAACAUUUAGUCUAUUUUAAUGCAACUACUCAGCGAUGGAGGGCCACAGCUGGUGAAUUAGGCCUUCAAAGGUCCAGUUAAGGUCCCAGCUACAGAGGAGCAGGACUUAGGAGAGCCCAGUGCUUUGGACGCAUCCGUGGAGGGAGGCUGGAGCAGAUGUCAGCAGAAGGGAAAAGGACCACGGACUUCUAUAACAGACUUUUUUUUUUUUUUUUUUUUUUGAGACAUAGUCUCGCUCUGUAGCCCAGGCUGGAGUGCAGUGACGUGAUCUCGGCUCACUGCAAGCUCCACCUCUUGGUGUCGGUUCAAGCGAUUCUCCUGCCUCAGCCUCCCGUGUAGCUGGGAUUACAGGCAUGUAAUUACCAUGCCCAGCUAAUUUUCGUAUUUUUAGAAGAGACGGGGUUUUGCCAUGUUGGCCAGGCUGGUCUUGAACUCCUGACCUCGUGAUCUGCCUGCCUCAGACUCUGAAAGUAGGGGGAUUACGGGCGUGAGCCACCGCGCCCAGCCCACAGACACGAUUUUUUAAAGAAAGUGUCUGUAAUCUGAGAAAGUGUGCGGUCGCCAGGCAUCCCACGGACAACUUGCAGACCAUUUGGAGCCGCUCCAGCACCUGGGCGGGCAUUUUCCAGCUCAAGGUCUGGGAGGGAAGCCGCCUCCCACCGCCUUCCGCUCACUCCAGCCCAUCGGAUGGCGUGCCCAUCUUGUCCUUGGGGGCUCUGUGUCCCCUGGGCUGCUGCCCACUGACUGCACACUCCACGUCCGGCGGGACAGGCGCCCGCACGCCUGGAACAUGGAUGUUCCCUGCCCUGACAUCGGCCGUGUUCACACAGCCGGAGCGGGGACCACCUCAACGCGAUGUGAGGGCCUCCACCGAGAAAAGACAUAAACAGCAGACGGUCCAGUGAGACAAGACGGGAAAUCAUCCUGAGAGUGGUGACGCCGUGAUGCGCGCCCUGUGCUGAGCGUCAGAAGCCCAGGCCGGUUGGAGACCGGCAUUGAGAUGGUUUAAUUCAGCUGUGGAACGUUCAGAUGUAUUGUUUCUAAUCCUCCAGGUCUCUGGAAAAUUUGCUUCUGGUUUUCGCUGUUUCCUUUUUUCUUUUUUUGGCGGGGGUUGUUUUUAAGGGCAAUACUUUUCUUUGACAAAGAGCUGGGGGUAGAGAGUACAAGUGACCUCCUAGCUCAGCCAUCAUGUGGCGGAACCCAAGAAGGUGGGGUGGGCUCCUCGGGGUCUCCCAUGGAUCUCAGCGUCCCCCACGCUGCCCAGGGGAAGGAGGACAUCGGCAGUGGGGCCCGGCAUGGCCGUGAUGGAACAGGCACGCCCUGACUGGUCCUCAGCUCCCUGCAGCAGUGGUGCCCGUGGCUGGUCUGCCAGAAAUUGGACCAAGGGCUGGUGGACAGAGUCCUGUCCUGGCAAAGCCUGGAGAGCCAGCCGUGGCGGUCCCUGCCUGGUGUCCAGUGAGACCCCUUCUCCCAGCCAGCUCUGGGUUCUGCUGCUACCUGUGGUCUGUGAGCCGGGGACCCAGGCCACCGCCACCAAGGAGGCUGCCCACGCGGCCAGGAAACCAGGCCCUGGGAAGAUGCAGACAAGAGGGGCGUCCCCGCCUAGACUGGCCCCUGCAGGGAUCGGCCUCCAGGGCAGGCAACAGGGCCUCUCACUGACCCGGGCCCGGGCCCUGCCUGGCCAGAAUGCUUCUUCCCUGGGAGCAGCCUCGGUGGGGCCCCAUUGAGCUGCAGACUCUAGGGCAGGACGGAGCCCGGUAGGCUGCCCUGAAGCAUGGCGGGCUCUCACCUUUGUCCUGCCGUGGAGUCAGAGACACGAGACCCUGGAGUGGGGAGCAGUUGUCUGUGUGGAAGACGAGAGGAGCGAGGGCACCACACCACUGUCCCCAAGACCGGCCCCCAGGCACUGCGCGGAAGAGGCCGUGGCCUGUGAGGUGGCCCUUCCCUGCCCUGGACAGGCUGUGGAGGGGCUGCAGGCGGAGGCUGGGCUGGGGAGUGCUUGAAAGAUCACUGAGCUGUGAGGGGCCUGCAGGCUGCCUGGGGACCUGGGGAGGGAAGCUCCGGGCCUUUCUCUGGCUCUGCAGACGCAUGGCCUGGGUUCAGAUGCCAGCUCCACCACUUCCUGGCUGCGUGGCCUUGGACAUGUGUCUUACCCUCUCUGAGCCUUACAUUUGCUCCUCUGGAAAAUCAAUGCUUCAUCCAAUAAAAAGUGAUCAUG